RNAcentral lists this ribosomal RNA (373 nucleotides) under uncultured organism. RNAcentral describes it as "partial 16S ribosomal RNA". It matches the Rfam family "Bacterial small subunit ribosomal RNA", at positions 528 to 896 of the family's 1533-position model. The record is from RNAcentral.
GGGGGGGCAAGCGUUAUUCGGAAUUACUGGGCGUAAAGAGCGCGUAGGCGGUCAGGUAUGUCAAAGGUGAAAUCCCUCGGCUCAACCGAGGAACGGCCUUUGAAACUGCCUGACUUGAGGCUGGGAGGGGAUAGCGGAAUUCUCGGUGUAGCGGUGAAAUGCGUAGAUAUCGAGAGGAACACCUGUGGCGAAGGCGGCUAUCUGGACCAGUUCUGACGCUGAGGCGCGAAAGCGUGGGGAGCAAACAGGGAUUAGAUACCCUGGUAGUCCACGCUGUAAACGAUGGGUACUCGGUGAUGCGGGUGUCGACUCCCUGCAUUGCCUUAGCUAACGCGUUAAGUACCCCCGCCUGGGGAGUACGGUCGCAAGGCUG